This 107-nucleotide small nucleolar RNA is filed under the name Cephalotus follicularis. RNAcentral's name for it is "Plant small nucleolar RNA R71". It matches the Rfam family "Plant small nucleolar RNA R71". Rfam says of the family: R71 is a member of the C/D box family of snoRNAs containing the C (UGAUGA) and D (CUGA) box motifs. The record is from Rfam by way of RNAcentral. Lineage: Eukaryota; Viridiplantae; Streptophyta; Magnoliopsida; Oxalidales; Cephalotaceae.
AAACAAUGAUGAGGACACUCUAAUAGGAGACCUUUGAAUCGCUCCAUACACCGAGAGGAUGUUUCAUUGGGUCUCUGAAGAAAAUGGAGUAUAUCAUUCCUAAGCUU